This is a long non-coding RNA of Acanthopagrus latus (yellowfin seabream), 997 nucleotides long. RefSeq lists it as uncharacterized. The record is from RefSeq and is a predicted model, not a curated record. Lineage: Eukaryota; Metazoa; Chordata; Actinopteri; Spariformes; Sparidae. The transcript is spliced from 4 exons.
GUGACUCUCGCACUGGCACCUGAACCCGUCACUAUGAGGGGCCGUACAAGACAUAAUUCAUUCUGGGCUGCUCACACAAACACAUUCUCCUUUCACAUACAUAUAUUUUCACCCUCACGCACAUACAUUCUCCUUUCACACACAUAUAUUUUUUUACAUUUUUCAUGUAAAGGAAAAAAAAAAAAACACAAUUUUUUCUCUGGCGUGUGACGGCCUUACCAGCCUUGUGUAGAAGCUGAGAGCGAAUCACUGCAACGUCUCCGUUGUUGGCUGAAUAGCCCCCUGCCUCAGAGGACAGAGGAGCUGAGUGGAUUCACUUCAUUUUAAAUGGAAAUAACCCCACAACUGGAAAACUGUGACAUGUGUGAAAACUACCGCAGACUGCUUUCCUGUGCCAGUACAAAGAAGGUUUAAUGAAGAUCAAGGAUCGAUUGAUGCUCACUUCAAACUUGGAAGCUGCCAACAUACCGCUACAAGACCGACCCUGCAGACACAACCACAUCUUUGACAGAGUUGACAAACAUGUUGCUCAGUGGCAGUCAGUCCUGUCUCUCGGACAGUCUUAAGUGAUGUGGAGAUGCUCAGCCAUCACUACUGAGGCCUUCAACAGUGUAAUCCUGUCAUUCUGCAUAAAAGCAUGAUCAUCAGAGUGACCUGAUGACGCUGUGUUUCAGGUUUUUUUGGACCCCGUCUCUUCUUGCAGUAUGAGAAACCAUCAGAGGAGGAAGAUAUUGUUGGGCGGGUUUUGCUUCUGUCAAGCAAACGCUGUCAAGACAACGGCCAGCAGCAUCAGGAAGUAUCAGUGUCCACAGAAGAGGCAUCAGGAUGACAUGUGUGACCUGAGAGCUCCAUUAUCAGCUGACAUACUUCAGUAUAAAAGAAACUUGAUUUCAGGACCUCAUCUGGACAGUUUACAUAAAAUUAAAGUGUUUCCUCCUUUUAUCUAUACCUAAUUUAUCCUCAUUGGCAUUGAAUAAAGUGAUUUGUUUUUAAUGAA